CGGAGAUUCCCGGUCGGAAUAUUAUCGCUUUUUUACCAGAAAAAUGGCAUAAAAAUGGAUUUUAAACAGCGGUUGACAUGCUUCGAAGUACGGUAAUGGAAUAUUUAGACAUUUUUUGUCACGAAUUGCGCCAUGCUCAUGACCCUGAUUUACCAUUUCGGAUAGUGUCUGGAACGCACGAACAAAACGCCGCUAUUUGGAUAUAACGAUGGAUUAUUUUGGACCAAACCAACAUUUGUUAUUGAAGUAGCAGUCGUGGGAGUGCAUUCUGACGAAGACAACAAAGAUAACUUGAAAAUGGGGUCGAUUACAGAAAGAGCCCAGGGAAGAUGAGUCGAAGUCGAAGUUGAAGCAGGAAUUGAGCACCCCAGCAGAAUGGGAUAACCUCAGCACAUAAGGACGGGGAGGAUUGCUAUUAGCUCUGUUCUCUGGACUGGAGGAGCAAGUGGUUCAGUCACUGUCUGUUCUCUGGACUGGAGGAGCAACUGGUUCAGUCACUGUCUGUUCUCUGGACUGGAG
Molecule: long non-coding RNA, 519 nt
Filed under: Salmo salar (Atlantic salmon)
Lineage: Eukaryota; Metazoa; Chordata; Actinopteri; Salmoniformes; Salmonidae
Description: lncRNA (ENSSSAG00000103702.1)
Source: RNAcentral